ACGUUUCACUUUUUGGAGGUUUGGUUGUUGUCUAAUCUGUAGACAGUUCUCUAUCUUGCGGCAGGAGAUUGUAUUUUUGAAGUCUGAGAUUUGUAAAUUAUCUGGUAAACAAACUCAGACUGGAACUGCUGCAAAGCCACUGCCGCAGAGACAUACUAGGAAUGGCAGAUGGAUUACUGUAGAAUCUGGUAGACUUAGAGUUGUGGAUAAAAGGCAUUUUGCACAGUCUGUUGC
This is a non-coding RNA of Pelobates cultripes (western spadefoot toad), 234 nucleotides long. The record is from the annotation of a GenBank genome assembly. Lineage: Eukaryota; Metazoa; Chordata; Amphibia; Anura; Pelobatidae.